This 253-nucleotide ribosomal RNA is filed under the name uncultured bacterium. RNAcentral's name for it is "partial 16S ribosomal RNA". It matches the Rfam family "Bacterial small subunit ribosomal RNA", at positions 524 to 776 of the family's 1533-position model. The record is from RNAcentral.
UACGGAGGGAGCUAGCGUUGUUCGGAAUUACUGGGCGUAAAGCGCGCGUAGGCGGUUUUUUAAGUCAGAGGUGAAAGCCCAGUGCUCAACACUGGAACUGCCUUUGAAACUGGAAAACUUGAAUCUUGGAGAGGUCAGUGGAAUUCCGAGUGUAGAGGUGAAAUUCGUAGAUAUUAGGAAGAACACCAGUGGCGAAGGCGGCUCACUGGCCCGGUACUGACGCUGAGACGCGAAAGCGUGGGGAGCGAACAGG